This 253-nucleotide ribosomal RNA is filed under the name uncultured bacterium. RNAcentral's name for it is "partial 16S ribosomal RNA". It matches the Rfam family "Bacterial small subunit ribosomal RNA", at positions 524 to 776 of the family's 1533-position model. The record is from RNAcentral.
UACGUAGGUGGCAAGCGUUGUCCGGAUUUACUGGGCGUAAAGGAUGCGUAGGCGGAUGUUUAAGUGAGAUGUGAAAUACCCGAGCUCAACUUGGGUGCUGCAUUUCAAACUGGAUAUCUAGAGUGCAGGAGAGGAAAGCGGAAUUCCUAGUGUAGCGGUGAAAUGCGUAGAGAUUAGGAAGAACACCAGUGGCGAAGGCGGCUUUCUGGACUGUAACUGACGCUGAGGCAUGAAAGCGUGGGGAGCAAACUGG